This 377-nucleotide unclassified non-coding RNA is filed under the name soil metagenome. RNAcentral's name for it is "partial contains 5.8S ribosomal RNA, internal transcribed spacer 2, and large subunit ribosomal RNA". The stretch from base 1 to 120 matches the Rfam family "5.8S ribosomal RNA", at positions 35 to 154 of the family's 154-position model. The record is from RNAcentral.
GAUGAAGAACGCAGCGAAAUGCGAUAAGUAAUGUGAAUUGCAGAAUUCAGUGAAUCAUCGAAUCUUUGAACGCACCUUGCACCCUCUGGCAUUCCGAAGGGUAUGCUCGUUUGAGUGUCAUUGUACUCUCACACUUCCGAUCUUUGGAUUGGGAGCGGUGGACUUGGGUGUUGCUGCUUACUGUGGCUCACCUCAAAUCGAUUCGUGCACCUCUUGGUUGGACAUAGUACGGCGUGAUAAGUGUCUUCGCCGGCACCUCAGUAGAGGGUGGCUGAUCGGGAGCUCUGCUUCAAACCGUCCUCGGACAACAACUGACAACUUGACCUCAAAUCGAGUAGGACUACCCGCUGAACUUAAGCAUAUCAAUAAGCGGAGGA